UACGUAGGGUGCAAGCAUUGUCCGGAUUUAUUGGGCGUAAAGAGCUCGUAGGCGGCUUGUCACGUCGGGUGUGAAACUCGGGGCUCAACCCGACGCCUGCACUCGAUACGGGCUAGCUAGAGUGUUGCAGGGGAGACUGGAAUUCCUGGUGUAGCGGUGAAAUGCGCAGAUAUCAGGAGGAACACCGGUAGCGGCAAGGCGGUCUCUGGGCCUACUGACACGUGAGGAGCGAAAGCGUGGGGAGCAACAGG
This 251-nucleotide ribosomal RNA is filed under the name uncultured bacterium. RNAcentral's name for it is "partial 16S ribosomal RNA". It matches the Rfam family "Bacterial small subunit ribosomal RNA", at positions 524 to 775 of the family's 1533-position model. The record is from RNAcentral.